This 253-nucleotide ribosomal RNA is filed under the name uncultured prokaryote. RNAcentral's name for it is "partial 16S ribosomal RNA". It matches the Rfam family "Bacterial small subunit ribosomal RNA", at positions 524 to 776 of the family's 1533-position model. The record is from RNAcentral.
UACAGAGGGGGCUAGCGUUAUUCGGAAUUAUUGGGCGUAAAGGGCGCGUAGGCGGCCAUGCGUGUCUUCCGUGAAAUCCCUCGGCUUAACUGAGGACGUGCGGAAGAAACUGCAAGGCUCGAGUCCGGGAGAGGGGGGUGGAAUUCCCAGUGUAGCGGUGAAAUGCGUAGAUAUCUGGAGGAACACCGGUGGCGAAGGCGGCAUCCUGGACCAAAUCUGACGCUGAGGAGCGAAAGCCAGGGGAGCAAACGGG